UGUCCAGAUUACAAAGGAGGAACAUUGGA
RNAcentral lists this non-coding RNA (29 nucleotides) under Mus musculus (house mouse). The record is from RNAcentral. Lineage: Eukaryota; Metazoa; Chordata; Mammalia; Rodentia; Muridae.